GAUGAACGCUAGCUACAGGCUUAACACAUGCGAGUCGCGGGGCAGCAUGGGGGUUGCUUGCAAUCCCCGAUGGCGACCGGCGCACGGGUGAGUAACGCGUAUCCAACCUGCCCUUCACCACGGGAUAACCCGGCGAAAGUCGGACUAAUACCGUAUGUUGUCCAUUGACGGCAUCCGAUUUGGACGAAAGGCUUGGCGGUGAGGGAUGGGGAUGCGUCCGAUUAGCCAGACGGCGGGGUAACGGCCCACCGUGGCUACGAUCGGUAGGGGUUCUGAGAGGAAGGUCCCCCACACUGGAACUGAGACACGGUCCAGACUCCUACGGGAGGCAGCAGUGAGGAAUAUUGGUCAAGGGGCGUAAGCCUGAACCAGCCAAGUAGCGUGCAGGAGGACGGCCCUAUGGGUUGUAAACUGCUUUUAUGCGGGGAUAAAGUGGCCCACGUGUGGGCUUUUGCAGGUACCGCAUGAAUAAGGACCGGCUAAUUCCGUG
This 490-nucleotide ribosomal RNA is filed under the name uncultured bacterium. RNAcentral's name for it is "partial 16S ribosomal RNA". It matches the Rfam family "Bacterial small subunit ribosomal RNA", at positions 28 to 507 of the family's 1533-position model. The record is from RNAcentral.